Ficedula albicollis (Collared flycatcher) is the source of this 46-nucleotide non-coding RNA. NCBI's taxonomy places the organism in Eukaryota, Metazoa, Chordata, Aves, Passeriformes, Muscicapidae. The record is from Rfam.
UCAGUGGUUUUAUUCAAAACCAGACUUAUAAACAACAAAGUUUGCU